AAUACGUAGGGUGCAAGCGUUGUCCGGAAUUGUUGGGCGUAAAGAGCUCGUAGGCGGUUUGUCGCGUCUGCUGUGAAAACUCGGGGCUCAACCCCGAGCUUGCAGUGGGUACGGGCAGACUAGAGUGCGGUAGGGGAGACUGGAAUUCCUGGUGUAGCGGUGGAAUGCGCAGAUAUCAGGAGGAACACCGGUGGCGAAGGCGGGUCUCUGGGCCGUAACUGACGCUGAGGAGCGAAAGCAUAGGGAGCGAACAGG
Molecule: ribosomal RNA, 255 nt
Filed under: uncultured prokaryote
Description: partial 16S ribosomal RNA
Rfam family: Bacterial small subunit ribosomal RNA
Source: RNAcentral